UGAGGAACAUGACCUUCGGCGGGGGAUAGCCGGCCCAACGGCCGGGUAAUACCGCGUACGACCACAUGGGGACAUCCCUGAGUGGUGAAAGCAGCAAUGCGCCGAUGGAGUGCCUCGCGGCCUAUCAGCUAGUUGGUGAGGUAACGGCUCACCAAGGCGACGACGGGUAGCUGGU
This 175-nucleotide ribosomal RNA is filed under the name uncultured bacterium. RNAcentral's name for it is "partial 16S ribosomal RNA". It matches the Rfam family "Bacterial small subunit ribosomal RNA", at positions 118 to 291 of the family's 1533-position model. The record is from RNAcentral.